Long non-coding RNA from Nanorana parkeri, 91 nucleotides. RefSeq lists it as uncharacterized. NCBI's taxonomy places the organism in Eukaryota, Metazoa, Chordata, Amphibia, Anura, Dicroglossidae. The transcript has 3 exons. The record is from RefSeq and is a predicted model, not a curated record.
CCUCACUGUCCUCCUCGUCCUCUUCUGCCUCGGACUCCUCGCUGUCCUCGAAGAACUUGGACUUGUCGGUGCUCUGGGGCGGGGCUGGGAG